CGUCAAGGGCAAUUAGCUAGAGCAGCAGGUGCUGUAGUGAAACUCAUUGCAAAAGAGGGUAAAUCGGCCACUUUAAGAUUACCAUCUGGGGAGGUCCGUUUAGUAUCCCAAAACUGCUUAGCAACAGUCGGACAAGUGGGAAGCAUAGAUUGCUGUCAACAAAGAGUUUUAUUAGUAUUUAGUUAG
RNAcentral lists this ribosomal RNA (186 nucleotides) under Triticum aestivum (bread wheat). Its description in RNAcentral is "partial small subunit ribosomal RNA". The record is from RNAcentral. Lineage: Eukaryota; Viridiplantae; Streptophyta; Magnoliopsida; Poales; Poaceae.